This 465-nucleotide ribosomal RNA is filed under the name uncultured bacterium. RNAcentral's name for it is "partial 16S ribosomal RNA". It matches the Rfam family "Bacterial small subunit ribosomal RNA", at positions 355 to 836 of the family's 1533-position model. The record is from RNAcentral.
UGGGGAAUAUUGGACAAUGGGGGCAACCCUGAUCCAGCAAUGCCGCGUGUGUGAAGAAGGUCUUCGGAUUGUAAAGCACUUUCGACGGGGACGAUGAUGACGGUACCCGUAGAAGAAGCCCCGGCUAACUUCGUGCCAGCAGCCGCGGUAAUACGAAGGGGGCUAGCGUUGCUCGGAAUGACUGGGCGUAAAGGGCGUGUAGGCGGUUUACACAGUCAGAUGUGAAAUCCCCGGGCUUAACCUGGGAGCUGCAUUUGAUACGUGUAGACUAGAGUGUGAGAGAGGGUUGUGGAAUUCCCAGUGUAGAGGUGAAAUUCGUAGAUAUUGGGAAGAACACCGGUGGCGAAGGCGGCAACCUGGCUCAUGACUGACGCUGAGGCGCGAAAGCGUGGGGAGCAAACAGGAUUAGAUACCCUGGUAGUCCACGCCUGUAAACGAUGUGUGCUAGAUGUUGGGUAACUUUGU